UGCUAGCCCCGAUUGAAGCGACAUCCUUUUAUCUCGUUUUUAAGAACGAGAUAAAAGAUAUAGCGAAAAGCGGGAGGAAUC
This 81-nucleotide small RNA is filed under the name Flavobacterium flevense. RNAcentral describes it as "Flavo-1 RNA". It matches the Rfam family "Flavo-1 RNA". The record is from RNAcentral. Lineage: Bacteria; Pseudomonadati; Bacteroidota; Flavobacteriia; Flavobacteriales; Flavobacteriaceae.